This 91-nucleotide transfer RNA is filed under the name Lentisphaeria bacterium. Its description in RNAcentral is "tRNA-Ser". It matches the Rfam family "tRNA". From Rfam's summary of the family: Transfer RNA (tRNA) molecules are approximately 80 nucleotides in length. Their secondary structure includes four short double-helical elements and three loops (D, anti-codon, and T loops). Further hydrogen bonds mediate the characteristic L-shaped molecular structure. tRNAs have two regions of fundamental functional importance: the anti-codon, which is responsible for specific mRNA codon recognition, and the 3' end, to which the tRNAs corresponding amino acid is attached (by aminoacyl-tRNA synthetases). tRNAs cope with the degeneracy of the genetic code in two manners: having more than one tRNA (with a specific anti-codon) for a particular amino acid; and 'wobble' base-pairing, i.e. permitting non-standard base-pairing at the 3rd anti-codon position. The record is from RNAcentral. Lineage: Bacteria; Pseudomonadati; Lentisphaerota; Lentisphaeria.
GGAGAGGUGGCUGAGCGGUUGAAGGCGGCGGUCUCGAAAACCGUUGUACUGUUAUGCAGUACCGAGGGUUCGAAUCCCUCCCUCUCCGCCA